This 440-nucleotide ribosomal RNA is filed under the name uncultured bacterium. RNAcentral describes it as "partial 16S ribosomal RNA". It matches the Rfam family "Bacterial small subunit ribosomal RNA", at positions 338 to 795 of the family's 1533-position model. The record is from RNAcentral.
CCUACGGGAGGCAGCAGUGGGGAAUAUUGCUCAAUGGGGGAAACCCUGAUGCAGCGACGCCGCGUGGGGGAUGAAGGUUUUCGGUUUGUAAACUCCUAUUAUUAGGGAAGAUAAUGACGGUAUCUGACUAAUAAGCACCGGCUAACUCCGUGCCAGCAGCCGCGGUAAUACGGAGGGUGCAAGCGUUACUCGGAAUCACUGGGCGUAAAGAGCGCGUAGGCGGGAUCGCAAGUCAGAUGUGAAAUCCUAUGGCUUAACCAUAGAACUGCAUUUGAAACUGUUAUUCUAGAGUAUGGGAGAGGUAGGCGGAAUUCCUGGUGUAGGGGUAAAAUCCGUAGAGAUCAAGAGGAAUACGAAUGGCGAAGGCGACCUGCUAGAACAUAACUGACGUUGAGGCGCGAAAGCGUGGGGAGCAAACAGGAUUAGAUACCCUUGUAGUC